Molecule: long non-coding RNA, 555 nt
Organism: Anopheles merus
Lineage: Eukaryota; Metazoa; Arthropoda; Insecta; Diptera; Culicidae
Exons: 2
Source: RefSeq, a predicted model, not a curated record
CAACGGCCGUCAUGCGUCAUCCAAAAGAUCUAAACAUUUUGUAUAUGCGAAUGGUACACACAAGGGAAUGCGAAUGAGAUUACGCUUUGCUAUAGCGGGAUCAAAGGCUACAGAUGAGAUUUGAUACCCAUCCGACUAUGUCAUAACCCAAGCUCCUAUCCAUUAGACCACGGAGACAUUCCACGUACAACAGUGAAGCAAGGAGUUCAUAUUUUUCUUUGCACAUUUUCGUAGUUUGACCUUUUCCUAUGAACAGUUUCCUCGCAACAUUAUGUCAACAUUCUUCCUAACAAAUCUCCUAGUGCAGGUGCUGCUCGGUUUUGUAAAUAAUCUCGCGUUCGAGGCUAAAAAAUAAAUAAUACUCAAACAGACAUUCAUAUACACAGCAAAAUGUUCGCAACAAAGCGUGUGGGUGAGCAGACGGCAGCAGCAGCAAUCAGGCGGCAGUGUUUUUAUUGAAAGCACACGAGCAAAAAGUUGAAAAUACCAACAACAGUAUUUUGAAUCCCUGAUGUAGAAAUCUUUAAAUGAAAAAAAUAUACAGCUCUCUCGAUG